Molecule: ribosomal RNA, 458 nt
Filed under: uncultured organism
Description: partial 16S ribosomal RNA
Rfam family: Bacterial small subunit ribosomal RNA
Source: RNAcentral
CACUCCUGCGGGAGGCAGCAGUGGGGAAUAUUGCACAAUGGGCGCAAGCCUGAUGCAGCGACGCCGCGUGGGGGAUGAAGGCCUUCGGGUUGUAAACUCCUUUCGCUAGGGACGAAGCUUUUUUGUGACGGUACCUAGAUAAGAAGCACCGGCUAACUACGUGCCAGCAGCCGCGGUAAUACGUAGGGUGCGAGCGUUGUCCGGAAUUACUGGGCGUAAAGGGCUCGUAGGUGGUUUGUCGCGUCGUCUGUGAAAUUCUGGGGCUUAACUCCGGGCGUGCAGGCGAUACGGGCAUAACUUGAGUGCUGUAGGGGUAACUGGAAUUCCUGGUGUAGCGGUGAAAUGCGCAGAUAUCAGGAGGAACACCGAUGGCGAAGGCAGGUUACUGGGCAGUUACUGACGCUGAGGAGCGAAAGCAUGGGUAGCGAACAGGAUUAGAUACCCGGGUAGUCCCAUGA